CUCAACUUAAUAAGGAAAGAAAAAAAUUAUAUGCAGAGGUGGCUAAGAUCCACAGUAACUUUUAUCACAUAAUAUCAUUAUGAUUGUUCUACUUUAUUAUUAGUUACCGUUGUUAAUCUUGUACAGUGCCCAAUUUACAAAUUAAACUUUAUCAUAAGCGUGUAUAUAUAUGAAAAAGCAUAGCAUAUGUAGAGUUCAGUCUAUCCUCGGUUUCAGGAAUCCGCUGGGGGUCCUGGAACGUUUCCCCUGUGGACAAGGGAGGUUGCCGUACAAAAUCCAGUGUCAUUUCAUAUAUUCACAAUUUUGCGCAACCAUUACCACUCUCCAGUUCCAGAACAUUUUCGUCACCACAAAAGGAACCCCUGUACCCUUUCAGCAGUCACUCCCUCCUCUCCCCCGCCCCUAGCAACCACGAAUCUUAUUUAUAUCUCUACAGAUUGGCCUAUUCUGAACAUUUACUAUAAACGGAAUAAUACAAUCUAUGGUCUUUUGAGUCUGGCUUCUUCCACUUAGCAGAAUGUUUGCAAGAUUCAUCCAUGUACCAUGUAUCAAUACUUUACUCUUUUCUAUGGCUGAAUUGUAUUCCAUUUCGUGGAUAUACCACAUUUUUUUAUCCAUUCGUCUAUUGGUAGGCAUUUCAAUUGUUUCCACUUUUUGGCUGUUAUGAAUAAUGCUGCCAUGAACAUUCAUAUGCAAGUUUUGGUGUGGACAAGUGUUUUCAAUUCUCUUGGGUGUAUGCCUAGGAGCAGAAUUACCGGGUCAUAUGGUAACUCAGUGUUUAACAUUUUGAGGAAUUCCCUGUUUCAAAGACUGCAUGUUUUUCUAUUGAUAUCAUCCUACAUCUGCUUUUUCCACUCACCAUUACAUUUUGGAGAGUCUUCCAAUUUAAUAUUUAGCUGUGGUUCAUCUAUUUCAAUGGUAGUAGAGAUGCCCUUGCAUGAACAAAACACUGUUCACUUGUCAUUCCCCUAUUGAGGGAUAUUUAGGCUAUUCCUCGUUUUCUACUACCAUAGAUAACACUGCCAAGAAGGGGGUUUCAUAGGUUUCAGUGUAUGGACCAAAUCUGCAGAGCAAGAGACCCUCACAGACCACUCACUGUACCCAUUCUUAGUUGACAGCCCCCCAAAUCUCCUAGGGUGAUGGUGCUGGGUUGUAGGUGGAGCACUGAAGUGAGCGAGCUGAAGAGAUGCGUCAGACCACGCCCCCAAAAUAACUAAAGCUCUCAGGGCAGAGGGUGGCCCGCCUAUGAUUAUUCCCAGUUAUUGGCUGCCCUCCCUGGGAGAGGAUUAUCCAUCCCUACUCCCUGCUCGGCUACCUGCGGUGCCCGCUUGGAGGAGGGCAGUACAGUCCCUGCCCUGCCCCCACCCCAGACACCAAGCUUGGCAAUGUGAUGGGCGUAGCCUCCGGAUGUGAGUGGUAACGAUGUCAGCCAUCCCUGCCUCUUCCCUCUGGCACAGGAGUGGCACAUCCCAGAUGUGAGGUCAGCUUCCUCAGCCUGGACCCUGGAAUGAAAAGACACAGGAGCAGAGCCACAACUGGUCCACAGGGACCCACAAAGAAAGCAAAGCCAACCCCUAUGGCUGUAAGCCUCUGCCAGGUUGUUGAUGUUCAUCAUCGUAGAAUAACUUAGCAAAAGCUAAUGCAAGGGGUCUCUUUCUUGUCUUUACCCCAAAUGAGCUAUCUGCAGUUUUGACCUGAACGUCCACUGGCCUAAUUUUUAAACCCUCUUACGCAUCAUUCCAACUAAAAUGCAUUUGCUGAGUUCGGACUCUGCUCAUUAUCUAUCCUAAAGCAUGGGAUUGAAAACUUGGAAAAUAAUAACAAUAGCUCACGUUCAUGAGUUUCUGCUCCUGGCCAGGCCCUGGCGCCAGCGGCAGGUCAUCUGUCCUCAUGUCACCCCAAGGCGGCGAACAUCACCACUAUCUACUUUUUAUUGAUGAAGAAAUGGAUGCUUCGAGGUAUUAAGCAACUGUCCUCAGGUAACACUUGAUCCAGCAAGAGGCAGCUGGAGGAACUGAACCUGAGCACGCGCACGCCGCUGGUCCUAUAAGACGCACAGCCCACCUCCUAUGAGCUCACAGACGCGCGGUGGAGAAAACGUCCUCCUGUGCCGCCACGGCUGUUUGUCUGUGCCCAGAACUCGGCAAAGGCAAGCCAGGCAGACAGACACAAUUCCUACCCUGGGGGAGAUGAUGACACAGAAAAAAAUUUUUUUUAAAUACUAAUUUCAUUCGAUGAAUAUAAAACAUCCAGAUUAGGCAAAUUCAUAGAGACAGAAAGUAGAUUAGCAGUUGCCAGGGGCGCGGGGUGGGAGCACGGGAAGGGACCGCUUAAAGUGUGUGAGGCUUCCUUUGGAGAUGAUGAAAAAUGUCUGGAACCAGACAGCAGUGAUGUUUGAGCAGUAUUGUGAAUGCGCUAAAUGUCACUAAUGGUAAAAUGUAUGCUAUGGGGUUUUAACCACAAUAAAAAUAGAACUAACUGUGUACAUGGGUAUCAUUGCAAUGAGUGCUGUAAAGAAAGCCUCUAGGGAGCUAUCAAGCCACAGGACGGGAGGCCUGCCCUGGUCUGGGGGAUCAGGGCUCCUCCUCAGAGGAACCCACUGCUGCCCCAAGGUCUCAGUGCCCUGGCGGAGACCCAGCAGGGGCAGGUCCCCACAUAUCGGGCCCCCGGGAGCACUGCAGACCCCGCUCCCAGCAGUUCCCACAAUUCAUAAUUACUUACUCAUGUGCAGGACGCCUUGUUAAUAACUCUUUUGCCCACUGGAAAGCAGACAUUGAUUUAGUCAGUCACCAGGUACAUUUCAAGCACAGAGCCCGUGGAGACAUGGUGGUGGGAACAGUGACAGAGUCCCUGCCCUAAGGGGGCUCCGAGCCUAGAGGAGGCACGGAUGAUGAGCAAGAAAUCAGCUCAAGCAGACUGCUGUGUGGGAGCCAGCGAAGGAAGCAAAACGAGCCCCAGAGAGAGAGAAGAGGCAGGCACCAUGGAUCCGGCCAGGUGCUGGGAAGGAAAGGAGUGAGCCAUGCACGGAGCAGGGAGAAGGGGCUCCAGCAGCAGGAACAGCAGGGACAAAGGCCUGGAGGCUGAAAAGCGUUCGGCACACUGGGGUGAUCGACAGGAGGCCCCCAAGGAUGGACUGUCAGGGGAGGAAAUCCACAGAGCUUGGAUGCAGGGGAGGGUGUGUAUCUUUUCUCUGCUGAAAAGGGAGCAUCUGGCACAGUGUCUCUCAUGCAGUACGUCUGUACUGGGAGGGAUGGAGGACAGAGAAGCUGUUCCUGCGAGCUGCAAGAUCUGGAUUCCAGUCCCAGGUCUCUUCCCACUUGCAUUACGACCGACCUCAGGCAAACCCCAGCACCUCUCUGGGCCUCAGUUUCCUCAUCUGUAGAAUGAAGGGUGAGAAACCAAAGAUCUAGCAGGGGCUGCCAUGUCUGUCCUUCCGCUCGUAUGUUGGCGAACUCCCAUGGCCUCUGCCAACAGCCCAGCCACAGGGUGUCCUGAGAAAUGGAAGAUGAGUGCAGAGGGGAGACCAGAAGCUACGCCUUUCUCACAGAAGCCCUCGCCACCCCGCUCCACAGGGAGCUCCCGGCACCUGGUCAGCCCCGUUCCUGCAGGAGGUCGGGAAGCCAGCCAAAUGCAUCCUGAAGACCCUACUCAGAGACUCUGGAGUUGGAAGAAGGGACCGUGGGGGGUCUCUGUGCAGCCCCCAGGAAAGGAGGCUCACCUUUGCCAGACAACUGGCCUAAUAGAAAGUUCUUUCAUUGAGCUGAAAUCUGCUUCUUGGAGAGUCCACCCCCGGCCUUCAUUCUUCCCUGAGGAGCCCACAGGUCCCUUUCUCGCUCCUGAAGAAAGCACAGACCUUGGAGCCACAGGCCUGCGUCUGCAACAGACCUUGCAACUGUGAAUGGCCGAUUACAUCCUUCGUGUAAGAUGAAGAUGAUGCUACUGAUGCUGCUGUUGUUAAUAUUAUUUUAGAUGAUGCCUCUUAGUGCUUACUACAUGCCAGACAAUGCUCUAAGCGGCUUUAUUUCACUUUAUUAUCACAAACAACACUGUAAGAUUGGUACUUUAUCCUCCAUUAUACAGAGAAGGAAAGUGAGGUUCAGAGACGCUAAGUAACCAGCCGAAGUUCACACAGCAAGGAAGUGACAGAAUCUGGGCGUGUAGCAGUGUCUGCCUCUCCAAGUCAUUAGCAGAACCAGCUGAGCUAGAUGACCUAGAUGAGAUCAGCAUAACUAACCUUCCCCAAGUCCUUACUGUGCUGAGCACUUGUGGUGAGCAGAAUAACAGCCCCUCAAAGAUGCCCCCAUUCCUAGUCGCUGGAGCCUGUGAAAAAUAUUACUUUACUUGGCAAGAGGGACUUUGCAGAUGUGUGUAAAGUUAAGUACUUGGAGAUGGGCGGUUAUCCUGGAUUCCCGGUGUCUAACCUGGAUCGUCAGUCCAAAUCACGCGUGUCCUUGAGAGCCGAGUCCCUCUCCAGGCUAUGUUCAGCCAGUGUGUGACCGUGGAAGAAGAGAUUCCAACAAACGCGCUCUCCCCGCCCCCGUUUCCUUAUGACCGUCUCUUGGCUUUUAUGUUUAGUGCUGUGGCAGCCGGAAGUCAGUUCUUCAGAAGGAAGCCUCACCAGCAGCCCAGGCCCGGUCCACGGAGACUCGAAAGUCAUCGGUCAAGGUGCAGCCGGGACGCGGAAAUUCUUCAAAGCUGCCCAGGGAUUCUAACGGGCAGCCCAGCUUGCGAACCACAGCCCUGAAAGCUUCUGCCCUGCUCCUCUCCACACGCCAACGAGCAACGCCAACCGAGGGUGCUCCUUGCAAAACAAGGGAGGGAUAAGUGGGGCCGGCGGUGUUAAUUUCAUCAUCUUUGUCCUCUCCUAAAACAUGACCUUUGGGUUUAUUCAGCCAAUAAAAAUUUGUGAAUUAUGCACUGUGUGUCAGACAUGCCCCGUGGAUCCAACAGUGGACAGAGGGCCUGUUCCUGCCCUCAGGGAGCACGCAGUCUAAUGGGGUAGGGGGAGGCGGGGGCACAGACAGACCAUGACAACAAAGAGAAGUUGCAGUGCCGUGGGCAUUUCUGUGGUGGGAACUGUGGGGGCCCAGAAACCAGGAUGAAGUCACGGUUCUCAGGAAGGGUCGUAUCUAAGCUGACGCCUGAAGGAUGAGUAUGAGUUGGUCAUACAAAGAGACAGAGAGAAAAGUUUCCAAGAGAAGGGAAAGGCACAUACAAAGUCCUAGAAGCAAGAGAGAGGGGUGGAAUAUUCAAGUUACCAACAUCCACCCACCAAGGAAGAGACGGGCCUUCUGUGCAGGCCGGGAGAACGUGUGAGUGAAGAGCCUGGUUUCCUAAACCCCAGGGAAAAUGAUCUGCAGUCAGUGGACUGGCUUCUGUUGGAAGGCGGACAGUAAACAAACCAGGGUUGGUCAGGUGUGGUGUCUAGAAAAGGAAGGACAAGGCAGAGUCACCCAAGACUACCCAGAAAGUGUCUGGGUCUCCCGAUCUCGGCGCACUGGGCUCCUCGACAGAGGUGUGCUCCCCCGCUCACCUCACUUGGAAGGGAAGCUGCAGAGGGCUCUGGGCACAUGGACCCAGUGGUCCUGCCAACAGCCCCCGAGGGGCUCUGUGGUACACACUUCUGUGCUUCCCGGACGAGGAGACAGAGGCGCCAAGAGGUUACGCAACCUGCCCUAGGUCCCACAGCUGGCAAGUGAGGCAGCUGAGAUGGCAGGCUACACAGGCUGCCUCCUGUGGGUGUGUUCUCUUAGGCACAGUGCCUUAUUGGCUGCCGAGCAAAAAAAACACACGCACGCUUUCUCACUCUCCUUGCUCCCAUCCCAGCAUUACCAUUCAACCUGUGGACAAGCAUAGCUGCGGGGAACAAAAUACUGCCACCCAGCAAUCCCAGCACAGUCCAGAUCACAGAGAGGGUGGGUUCUCAUUGGAAAUUGAUCCCUUGGGAUCAAGUGUAUAGAUAUAGAGAUAGAUAUAGAUGAUAUAGAUAGAUAUGCGGGUAUAUAUAUGUAUGCACACAGACAUAUAUAUACAGGGUGGGUGUGUGUGUAUAUACCUAAAUACCUGUAUACACACCUAUACAUCUAUAUCUAUAUGUAUAUACCAUUCUUCCUGUGUUGGUUGGUCUGACUCUGGAGCUGGGCGAAACUGAUUUCACAUUCUACCCCUAGUCACCAUGAGCUGUAUUGUCCUGGGCAAGUCAGAAACUUCCUGAGCCUCCAUGUCCCCGCUUACAAAGUGAAGAGAUGGCAAUGCUCAACCUAUGGGGCUACUGCAAGGAGGAAGCAAGAUGGUAUGUGUACAGCCCCAAGCGUGUGCCUGGCAGAGGGACAGAGUCCAGUCAAGGGAAGCUGUGUGAUUUUCAUUCUCAGUGGGCUGCCCCUGGGGUUUCUGAGCUCACACAGCUGAGGGCUGAGGCCACCAGCCCCUUCAUGGCACUGUCACCAGGAUGAUCGCCACUUCUUGGGUACCAGUCUGGGUGUCAGCAACCUCAUGAGGCUCAUUCCCCUCUCUCUCCUCCCUUCUUUGGGCACCUCAAGGAUUAGAAUCUCCGCCCCCACAAUGCGUGUGAGAACUAAAUGAGACAGGUGCAUUCAUUUGCCAGGGCCUCAUAACAAAGUACCAUACACUGGCAGCUUAAACAACAGAAAUGUAUUUCCUUACAGUUCCGGAGGCCAGAGGUCCAAGAUCAAGGUGUCGGCAGGAUUGGUUCUUUGUGUAGCUUCUCUCCUUGACUUACCGAUGGUCGUCUUCUCCCUGUGUCUUCACAUGGUUCUCCCUCUGUGUGCGUCCAUGUCCUAAUUUCCUCUUCUUAUAAGGACACCAGUCAUAUUGAACUAGGGCCCACCCUAAUGACCUCAUUUUACAUUUGUUAUCUCUUUAAAGACCGUAUCUUCAAAUACAGUCAUAAUCUGAGGUACUGAGGUACACAUGCAUUUGGAGGGGACACCAUUCAGCCCAGAGCAUCAGUUACAUAAUGUUCCUGGUGAAGACGUUGGCAUAUAGUAAGCACCUAGUAAGUGAUGACGAGGGUAAGGGUGAUGCUGGAAAUCAUGACUCUCGACAGACUAGGAACCACUGCAACAGGGUGACCAGCCACAGCUCAGUGCCCAUGGAGAAGUCCCUCUGGGUCAAGGAGAAGACCUGGGAUUUGGGAGGCCAUGCAUCCUAAUCCUUGCAGGGUGUCCUGUCCAAAACGUCCAUAAGACAUUAGGUCCACGCCAAAAGGUCCUUGAGCUUUGGUCCUGUCCAAAAUGUCCAUGAGCAUAUUUGGUCCAUGCCAAAUGGUUUUGGACAGGACCAAAUGUCAAGAACCUUUUGGCAUGGACCUAAUGUCUCCAUAGACAUUUUGGACAAGAAUAAAUAUGACCAAAUAUCAAGGACCUUUUGGCACGGACCAAAUGUCUUAUGGAUGUUUUGGACAGGACCAAACGGCUGAUGAUCUCACCGAAUAAAUUCAUGUAUCCAUUGACUUUAGAGUUAGAACCACAUGGGUUCGGCCCCUCAUGACAGCACUCACCAGCUGGUUGGAGACCCUGAGCAAAUUGCUAAGCAAACCUAGCGAGCCUCAGCUUCCCUCACGUAUGCAGGUAACAACUGACAAGGGCCUGGUAGUGAGAGGGCCCCAGGACACGCUCUUCUCCGUCUGUGAGCAGGAAGACCAGGCUUCCGGUCACAGUUUGGCCAUCUACCAGUGACAAUAGUGGACAAGCCACUCUCAGGGGCUCAGUCUCUUCAGUUCUUGACUGGGAAUGAUAAUCCCAACCUCACGGGGUUGUCGUAGGGUGGAAAUGAGUCAAGGUGUGUGAAAGCGCUUUGUAAACUGCAGAGUGCUCUGUACAGGUCAGCUGUUGGCCUCCUUUCAGGAUGCAACACUUCAGAGGUUUUUAUGAGAGGGCACUCACACCCACACACCCGAUUCCAAGAAAAACGCAAGAGGAGGGGGCCCUGUGGUUUCAUCCUUCAUGACUCACAGAGGCCACUCCUGCCGAGUAUUCAAAUCCUGUGGCUAG
Equus caballus (horse) is the source of this 8012-nucleotide long non-coding RNA. The record is from Ensembl. NCBI's taxonomy places the organism in Eukaryota, Metazoa, Chordata, Mammalia, Perissodactyla, Equidae.